GAUGAACGCUGGCGGCGUGCCUAAUACAUGCAAGUCGAGCGAACGGACGAGAAGCUUGCUUCUCUGAUGUUAGCGGCGGACGGGUGAGUAACACGUGGAUAACCUACCUAUAAGACUGGGAUAACUUCGGGAAACCGGAGCUAAUACCGGAUAAUAUUUUGAACCGCAUGGUUCAAAAGUGAAAGACGGUCUUGCUGUCACUUAUAGAUGGAUCCGCGCUGCAUUAGCUAGUUGGUAAGGUAACGGCUUACCAAGGCAACGAUGCAUAGCCGACCUGAGAGGGUGAUCGGCCACACUGGAACUGAGACACGGUCCAGACUCCUACGGGAGGCAGCAGUAGGAAAUCUUCCGCAAUGGGCGAAAGCCUGACGGAGCAACGCCGCGUGAGUGAUGAAGGUCUUCGGAUCGUAAAACUCUGUUAUUAGGGAAGAACAUAUGUGUAAGUAACUGUGCACAUCUUGACGGUACCUAAUCAGAAAGCCACGGCUAACUACGUG
Molecule: ribosomal RNA, 497 nt
Filed under: uncultured bacterium
Lineage: Bacteria
Description: partial 16S ribosomal RNA
Rfam family: Bacterial small subunit ribosomal RNA
Source: RNAcentral